UCAUCAGGGCAAGAAGAUUUUAGGAUUGACAGAUUGAGAGUUCUUUCUUGAUUGGUCUAGUGGUGGUGCAUGGCCGUUCUUAGUUGGUGGAGUGAUUUGUCUGGUUAAUUCCGUUAACGAACGAGACCUUAACCUGCUAACUAGUACCCUGAUCCUCAAUCGGGGUUACUUCUUAGAGGGACUAUGUGAUGUAAUCACAUGGAAGUUUGAGGCAAUAACAGGUCUGUGAUGCCCUUAGAUGUCCUGAGCUGCACGCGCGCUACAAUGACACAUUCAACGAGUAUUCCUGACCCGAAAGGGCUCGGGUAAUCUUUUUAGUGUGUGUCGUGAUAGGGAUAGAUCUUUGUAAUUAUGGAUCUUGAACGAGGAAUUCCUAGUAAGCGCACGUCAUCAGCGUGUGCUGAUUACGUCCCUGCAAAAAUGUACACACCGCCCG
Molecule: ribosomal RNA, 436 nt
Filed under: uncultured eukaryote
Lineage: Eukaryota
Description: SSU rRNA
Rfam family: Eukaryotic small subunit ribosomal RNA
Source: RNAcentral